UGCUUGGGAAUAUGCCUUUAGGUGGGGGACAACAGUUGGAAACGACUGCUAAUACCGCAUAAUGUCUACGGACCAAAGUAGGGGAUCUUCGGACCUUACGCCUUUAGAUUAGCCCAAGUGGGAUUAGGUAGUUGGUGAGGUAAAAGCUCACCAAGCCCACGAUCCCUAGCUGGUUUGAGAGGAUGAUCAGCCACACUGGAACUGAGACACGGUCCAGACUCCUACGGGAGGCAGCAGUGGGGAAUAUUGCACAAUGGGCGCAAGCCUGAUGCAGCCAUGCCGCGUGUGUGAAGAAGGCCC
This 300-nucleotide ribosomal RNA is filed under the name uncultured Pseudoalteromonas sp. RNAcentral describes it as "bacterial SSU rRNA". It matches the Rfam family "Bacterial small subunit ribosomal RNA", at positions 114 to 417 of the family's 1533-position model. Lineage: Bacteria; Pseudomonadati; Pseudomonadota; Gammaproteobacteria; Alteromonadales; Pseudoalteromonadaceae. The record is from RNAcentral.